UUUGAUUAAGGUUUGUUAGAAUUUGGUUAAGAUUUGUUUAGGAUUUGUUUAGGAUUUUUUAGGAUUUGGUUAAGAUUUUUUUAGGAUUUGGUUAAGAUUUGUUUAAGAUUUGAUUAGGAUUUGGAUAAGAUUUGUGUAGGCUUUGACUAGUACUUAUUUAAGUUUUAUUUAAGAUUUGGAUAGGAUUUUUUUUAAACUUUGAGUAGGAUUUAUUUAGGAUUUGCUUAGGAUUUGGAUAGGAUUUGGUUAAAAUUUGUUUA
This 260-nucleotide long non-coding RNA is filed under the name Physcomitrium patens. Its description in RNAcentral is "long non-coding RNA (PPAT_LNC007195)". The record is from RNAcentral. Lineage: Eukaryota; Viridiplantae; Streptophyta; Bryopsida; Funariales; Funariaceae.